Molecule: ribosomal RNA, 483 nt
Filed under: uncultured bacterium
Lineage: Bacteria
Description: bacterial SSU rRNA
Rfam family: Bacterial small subunit ribosomal RNA
Source: RNAcentral
GACGAACGCUGGCGGCGUGCUUAACACAUGCAAGUUGAACGGGCAUACAUGGAAGCUUGCUGAAGUGUAUGUUAGUAGCGGACGGGUGAGUAAUGCAUGAGGACCUGCCUACCGGAGGGGGACAACAGUUGGAAACGGCUGCUAAUACCCCGUAUGCCGAGAGGUGAAAGGAAUGGAGACAUUCCGCCGGGAGAGGGACUCAUGUCCUAUCAGCUAGUUGGUGAGGUAACGGCUCACCAAGGCGACGACGGGUAGCCGGCCUGAGAGGGCGACCGGCCACACUGGAACUGAGAGACGGUCCAGACUCCUACGGGAGGCAGCAGUGGGGAAUAUUGGGCAAUGGGGGCAACCCUGACCCAGCGACGCCGCGUGAACGAAGAAGGCCGUGAGGUUGUAAAGUUCUUUUCGGGAGGGGGAACAACCGUGGCAGGGAAUGGCCGCGGGAUGACGUGAAUCCCGGAAUAAGCCCCGGCUAACUACGUG